RNAcentral lists this ribosomal RNA (254 nucleotides) under uncultured Pseudomonas sp. Its description in RNAcentral is "partial 16S ribosomal RNA". It matches the Rfam family "Bacterial small subunit ribosomal RNA", at positions 99 to 355 of the family's 1533-position model. Lineage: Bacteria; Pseudomonadati; Pseudomonadota; Gammaproteobacteria; Pseudomonadales; Pseudomonadaceae. The record is from RNAcentral.
CGGACGGGUGAGUAAUGCCUAGGAAUCUGCCUGGUAGUGGGGGACAACGUUUCGAAAGUAACGCUAAUACCGCAUACGUCCUACGGGAGAAAGCAGGGGACCUUCGGGCCUUGCGCUAUCAGAUGAGCCUAGGUCGGAUUAGCUAGUUGGUGAGGUAAUGGCUCACCAAGGCGACGAUCCGUAACUGGUCUGAGAGGAUGAUCAGUCACACUGGAACUGAGACACGGUCCAGACUCCUACGGGAGGCAGCAGCC